GACGAACGCUGGCGGCGUGCUUAACACAUGCAAGUCGAACGGUGAAGCAGAGCUUGCUCUGUGGAUCAGUGGCGAACGGGUGAGUAACACGUGAGUAACCUGCCCUUGACUCUGGGAUAAGCGUUGGAAACGACGUCUAAUACCGGAUACGAGCUGAGACCGCAUGGUCAUCAGUUGGAAAGAUUUUUUGGUCAAGGAUGGACUCGCGGCCUAUCAGCUUGUUGGUGAGGUAAUGGCUCACCAAGGCGACGACGGGUAGCCGGCCUGGGAGGGUGACCGGCCACCCGGGGCCUACGGCAGGCCCCAGUCGCCAACGGGGGCCACUGGGGGGAAUUCUGGCCCAGGGGCGCCAAGCGUGUGACGGCAGCCCCGGGAGUGGAAGGCCGUCUUCGGUGUGGAAAACCGCUUUAAGUGGGAAAGAAGCGAAUGUGACGUUACCUACAGAAAAAGCACCGGCUAACUACGUG
Molecule: ribosomal RNA, 467 nt
Filed under: uncultured bacterium
Lineage: Bacteria
Description: partial 16S ribosomal RNA
Rfam family: Bacterial small subunit ribosomal RNA
Source: RNAcentral